UACGAAGGGGGCUAGCGUUGCUCGGAAUUACUGGGCGUAAAGCGCACGUAGGCGGUCUUUUAAGUCGGGGGUGAAAUCCUGGAGCUCAACUCCAGAACUGCCUUCGAUACUGAGGAUCUUGAGUUCGGGAGAGGUGAGUGGAACUGCGAGUGUAGAGGUGAAAUUCGUAGAUAUUCGCAAGAACACCAGUGGCGAAGGCGGCUUCCUGGACCGGUUCUGACACUGAGGAGCGAAAGCGUGGGGAGCGAUCCGG
RNAcentral lists this ribosomal RNA (253 nucleotides) under uncultured bacterium. RNAcentral describes it as "partial 16S ribosomal RNA". It matches the Rfam family "Bacterial small subunit ribosomal RNA", at positions 524 to 776 of the family's 1533-position model. The record is from RNAcentral.